This 70-nucleotide transfer RNA is filed under the name Chlorogomphus shanicus. RNAcentral describes it as "tRNA-Cys". Lineage: Eukaryota; Metazoa; Arthropoda; Insecta; Odonata; Chlorogomphidae. The record is from RNAcentral.
GGUUUUAUAGUCAAUAUAUGAUACUAGACUGCAAUUCUAGGGUAGUAGAAACAGAAUUUUACUAAGACUU